This 401-nucleotide ribosomal RNA is filed under the name uncultured bacterium. Its description in RNAcentral is "bacterial SSU rRNA". It matches the Rfam family "Bacterial small subunit ribosomal RNA", at positions 356 to 774 of the family's 1533-position model. The record is from RNAcentral.
GGGGAAUCUUGCACAAUGGGGGCAACCCUGAUGCAGCGACGCCGCGUGAGCGAUGAAGCCCUUCGGGGCGUAAAGCUCUUUCGACCGGAACGAUAAUGACGGUACCGGGAGAAGAAGCUGCGGCUAACUACGUGCCAGCAGCCGCGGUAAUACGUAGGCAGCAAGCGUUGUUCGGAGUUACUGGGCGUAAAGAGUGCGUAGGCGGUUUUCUAAGUUCGGUGUGAAAUCUCCCGGCUUAACUGGGAGGGUGCGCCGAAGACUGGGAAGCUGGAGUGUGGGAAAGGCAGGCGGAAUUCCUGGUGUAGCGGUGAAAUGCGUAGAUGUCAGGAGGAACACCGGCGGUGUAGACGGCUUGCUAGACCAUAACUGACGCUGAGGCACGAAAGCGUGGGUAGCAAACA